CAAUAAACAACUUUCAAAGCAAAAAGCUGCAUGUUUGUAAGAAACAAAUCCAUCAAGCAGUUUUAACUUUAUACCAUCUCUUUUGGAUUAUUGUGAUGUUUUUAUC
Molecule: long non-coding RNA, 106 nt
Organism: Sinocyclocheilus grahami
Lineage: Eukaryota; Metazoa; Chordata; Actinopteri; Cypriniformes; Cyprinidae
Exons: 3
Source: RefSeq, a predicted model, not a curated record